Long non-coding RNA from Tribolium madens (black flour beetle), 1283 nucleotides. RefSeq lists it as uncharacterized. Lineage: Eukaryota; Metazoa; Arthropoda; Insecta; Coleoptera; Tenebrionidae. The record is from RefSeq and is a predicted model, not a curated record. The transcript has 3 exons.
UCGAUUAUAAACAAUACGGCUGCGGUUCUCUUUUACAAGAGAUGAGUCCAAUCUCUUCGGUUUACGUGACCCGAACGAAAAAAUUGCGAUUUAUGCGGAAUUGCUAAAGAGCACAGUUAGGAAUUAUCGUUGUUACCCUCGACCUCCGAUUGUUGCGACAUUGCGUGGGUCGGAAGUUUUGUGCUUUUCACACCGGUGCCACGCACGACUUUGGAUUUGUUCAACGAAGUGCACGUAAACCCGGGCGAAAGGGAGGAGAUUUGCGAUUUUGUAAACGCCAAUGAAGAGACGGAUAGGAAGGACAAGGACAAGGGAACAAGUCAGGAACGAAUUUCUCAAGAAUCACAAAUUCGACUCCUAGGAGAACACACCCAGCUCCGACGCCGAAACCAAAAAUGUGAAAAAAUGGCAAAAAGGCAAUAGUGGACUCGUUUUCAUUAAAAUCUAUCAAGUUUGGGUCUGCCAUGAAAGUCAUGGUGUAGCGUAGGUUGGCAUGGGUUAAUUGGACGCAUUUUGGAAAUCCGGUGGUGCCUGAAGAUGUCAAAAUUAAAGCAACGUCGUCCAGAUUUGCUUCAACAGGACAAAAAUUUUCACUGUCAUUUGCGUUCUCAAUAAGGUUAUUAAAAUUGACACCAUAGUCGGAAGUUGGGGCAUCAUAAAUAUAUAUUUUUGAGGGGAAAAAAUCUUCGUUUUUUAAUUCGAGAAGAGUUUGCAAAGACUUAUGGGUAGAAAAUACCACUUUUGGUUGACACGUCGACAUGAUAUGUUUUAGUUCUCCUGAAAAGUUAAUUAAAAGAGAAAUUUUUUAUUUGGAUCUACCUGAAGUGUAGUCAUGAUUUAGGAGAUUUACUUUUGCUCCAACAUAAAAUCCAGCGAUUAGUGUCAGUAAGUAUUUCCAAUGAUUUUGUGAUAUUAUAGUUAACACGUCUCCCUGUUUUAUUCCGAUGUUUUGAAGCUCUUGAGCCAGUUUUAUUGAGAGUUUGGAAAAGGUUCCAUAAUUCACAACUUCGCCAGUUGCAGUGUCGGUCUAAUUUUUUUGGUAUGAGUAACAUACUAUAAGUUGUAGGAAAAAAAUAAAUACCAAUAGUGUUUUCCCCGAAUUCCACUUUUUCAGUCUGUCAUGAAAAAUUACACCAAUGGCUUUGGAAGGUAGAUUUAUUACAUCAGAGGGUCCAACUUGAAUUAGCCCAGACAUGAUUUCAAAAUAGCCACCACACAACUAAAUUUGAUUUGAAUUCUUUACUCUUUUUUAAUUAAAAUUUUUAAUAUAUGAUUUCAAACAA